RNAcentral lists this ribosomal RNA (301 nucleotides) under uncultured bacterium. Its description in RNAcentral is "partial 16S ribosomal RNA". It matches the Rfam family "Bacterial small subunit ribosomal RNA", at positions 509 to 807 of the family's 1533-position model. The record is from RNAcentral.
CAGUCGCCACGGUAAUACAGAGGAUGCAAGCGUUAUCCGGAAUGAUUGGGCGUAAAGCGUCUGUAGGUGGCUUUUCAAGUCCGCCGUCAAAUCCCAGGGCUCAACCCUGGACAGGCGGUGGAAACUACCAAGCUGGAGUACGGUAGGGGCAGAGGGAAUUUCCGGUGGAGCGGUGAAAUGCGUAGAGGUGUGGAGGAACACCAGUGGCGAAGGCGACUCUCUGGUCUGUAACUGACGCUGAGGAGCGAAAGCGUGGGGAGCGAACAGGAUUAGAUACCCCAGUAGUCCCUGUCUCUUAUAC